AAACGACUCUCGGCAACGGAUAUCUCGGCUCUCGCAUCGAUGAAGAACGUAGCAAAAUGCGAUACUUGGUGUGAAUUGCAGAAUCCCGUGAACCAUCGAGUUUUUGAACGCAAGUUGCGCCMUAAGCCGUCAGGCAGAGGGCACGCUUGCCUGG
Molecule: ribosomal RNA, 154 nt
Filed under: Tarenaya werdermannii
Lineage: Eukaryota; Viridiplantae; Streptophyta; Magnoliopsida; Brassicales; Cleomaceae
Description: 5.8S ribosomal RNA
Source: RNAcentral